RNAcentral lists this ribosomal RNA (464 nucleotides) under uncultured bacterium. RNAcentral describes it as "partial 16S ribosomal RNA". It matches the Rfam family "Bacterial small subunit ribosomal RNA", at positions 339 to 795 of the family's 1533-position model. The record is from RNAcentral.
CUACGGGUUGCAGCAGCUAAGAAUCUUCCGCAAUGGACGAAAGUCUGACGGAGCGACGCCGCGUGAACGAUGAAGGCCGUGAGGUUGUAAAGUUCUUUUCUUGGGGAGGAAUAAUGAUGAGAGGAAAUGCUCAUCAGAUGACGUUAACCGAGGAAUAAGCCCCGGCUAAUUACGUGCCAGCAGCCGCGGUAACACGUAAGGGGCAAGCGUUGUUCGGAAUCAUUGGGCGUAAAGGGCACGCAGGCGGCAAUGCAAGUCUGAUGUGAAAGACCACGGCUUAACCGUGGGAGGGCAUUGGAAACUGUUUUGCUAGAGGGGUGUAGGGGAGACUGGAAUUCCUUGUGUAGGGGUGAAAUCUGUAGAUAUAAGGAAGAACACCGGUGGCGAAGGCGAGUCUCUGGGAACCUACUGACGCUGAGGUGCGAAAGCGUGGGGAGCGAACAGGAUUAGAUACCCUCGUAGUC